GACAGAGGGUGCAAACGUUGCUCGGAAUCACUGGGCGUAAAGGGCGUGUAGGCGGGAAGGAAAGUCAGAUGUGAAAUCCCCAGGCUCAACCUGGGAACUGCAUUUGAAACUCCCUUUCUUGAGUGCCGGAGAGGAAAGUGGAAUUCCUGGUGUAGAGGUGAAAUUCGUAGAUAUCAGGAGGAACACCAGUGGCGAAGGCGGCUUUCUGGACGGUAACUGACGCUGAGACGCGAAAGCGUGGGGAGCAAACAGG
This 253-nucleotide ribosomal RNA is filed under the name uncultured bacterium. RNAcentral's name for it is "partial 16S ribosomal RNA". It matches the Rfam family "Bacterial small subunit ribosomal RNA", at positions 524 to 776 of the family's 1533-position model. The record is from RNAcentral.